This 1008-nucleotide ribosomal RNA is filed under the name uncultured bacterium. RNAcentral describes it as "bacterial SSU rRNA". It matches the Rfam family "Bacterial small subunit ribosomal RNA", at positions 8 to 1021 of the family's 1533-position model. The record is from RNAcentral.
AGAGUUUGAUCAUGGCUCAGAUUGAACGCUGGCGGAAUGCUUUACACAUGCAAGUCGAACGGCAGCACGGGGGCAACCCUGGUGGCGAGUGGCGAACGGGUGAGUAAUACAUCGGAACGUGCCCAGUCGUGGGGGAUAACUACGCGAAAGCGUAGCUAAUACCGCAUACGAUCCACGGAUGAAAGCGGGGGACCGCAAGGCCUCGCGCGAUUGGAGCGGCCGAUGGCAGAUUAGGUAGUUGGUGGGGUAAAGGCCUACCAAGCCUGCGAUCUGUAGCUGGUCUGAGAGGACGACCAGCCACACUGGGACUGAGACACGGCCCAGACUCCUACGGGAGGCAGCAGUGGGGAAUUUUGGACAAUGGGCGCAAGCCUGAUCCAGCCAUUCCGCGUGCAGGAUGAAGGCCCUCGGGUUGUAAACUGCUUUUGUACGGAACGAAACGGCUCUCUCUAAUACAGGGGGCUAAUGACGGUACCGUAAGAAUAAGCACCGGCUAACUACGUGCCAGCAGCCGCGGUAAUACGUAGGGUGCGAGCGUUAAUCGGAAUUACUGGGCGUAAAGCGUGCGCAGGCGGUGAUGUAAGACAGAUGUGAAAUCCCCGGGCUCAACCUGGGAACUGCAUUUGUGACUGCAUCGCUGGAGUGCGGCAGAGGGGGAUGGAAUUCCGCGUGUAGCAGUGAAAUGCGUAGAUAUGCGGAGGAACACCGAUGGCGAAGGCAAUCCCCUGGGCCUGCACUGACGCUCAUGCACGAAAGCGUGGGGAGCAAACAGGAUUAGAUACCCUGGUAGUCCACGCCCUAAACGAUGUCAACUGGUUGUUGGUCCUUCGCUGGAUCAGUAACGAAGCUAACGCGUGAAGUUGACCGCCUGGGGAGUACGGCCGCAAGGUUGAAACUCAAGGAAUUGACGGGACCCGCACAAGCGGUGGAUGAUGUGUUUAUUCGAUGCACGCGAAAACUUACCCACCUUUGACAUGUACGGAUCCGCAGAGAUGUGGAAGUGCUCGA